RNAcentral lists this ribosomal RNA (485 nucleotides) under uncultured bacterium. RNAcentral's name for it is "bacterial SSU rRNA". It matches the Rfam family "Bacterial small subunit ribosomal RNA", at positions 10 to 507 of the family's 1533-position model. The record is from RNAcentral.
AGUUUGAUCAUGGCUCAGGAUGAACGCUAGCGGCAGGCUUAAUACAUGCAAGUCAAGGGGUAGCAAUACAACCGGCGCACGGGUGAGUAACGCGUACACAACAUACCAUAUACUGGAGUAUAGCUUUGGGAAACUGAAGGUAAUCCUCCAUAACAUUGCGAGAGGGCAUCUGAUUGCAAUUAAAGUUUCGGCGGUAUAUGAUUGGUGUGCGUUUGAUUAGCUAGUUGGUAGGGUAACGGCAUACCAAGGCGACGAUCAAUAGCUGGCGUGAGAGCGCGACCAGCCACACUGGAACUGAGACACGGUCCAGACUCCUACGGGAGGCAGCAGUAGGGAAUAUUGGACAAUGGAGGAAACUCUGAUCCAGCCAUGCCGCGUGAUAGAUGAAGGCCCUCUGGGUUGUAAAUAUCUUUUAUCUGGGAAGAAACACUCCUAUUCUUAGGAACUUGACGGUACCAGAGGAAUAAGCACCGGCUAACUCCGUG